AAGUCGUAACAAGGUCUCCGUAGGUGAACCUGCGGAGGGAUCAUUAAUAGAGAUGGUGGACCCCCGCGUCCCCGUCCCAACCCUUUGUUGACCAAACCACUUUUGCCUCGGGGGCAGAGCGGCCUCCGCCGCCCCCGGCGGACCAACCAACCCUGUCUCUGUACGUCGGAGUCUUUGAUAAAUAAAUAAAAA
This 192-nucleotide unclassified non-coding RNA is filed under the name plant metagenome. RNAcentral's name for it is "partial contains small subunit ribosomal RNA and internal transcribed spacer 1". The stretch from base 1 to 46 matches the Rfam family "Eukaryotic small subunit ribosomal RNA", at positions 1786 to 1831 of the family's 1831-position model. The record is from RNAcentral.